This 497-nucleotide ribosomal RNA is filed under the name uncultured bacterium. RNAcentral's name for it is "partial 16S ribosomal RNA". It matches the Rfam family "Bacterial small subunit ribosomal RNA", at positions 28 to 507 of the family's 1533-position model. The record is from RNAcentral.
GAUGAACGCUGGCGGCGUGCCUAAUACAUGCAAGUCGAACGCUGAAGGAAGGAGCUUGCUCUUUCCGGAUGAGUUGCGAACGGGUGAGUAACGCGUAGGUAACCUGCCUGGUAGCGGGGGAUAACUAUUGGAAACGAUAGCUAAUACCGCAUAACAGGAGAUGUUGCAUGAUAUCUACUUAAAAGGUGCAAUUGCACCACUACCAGGUGGACCUGCGUUGUAUUAGCUAGUUGGUGAGGUAACGGCUCACCAAGGCGACGAUACAUAGCCGACCUGAGAGGGUGAUCGGCCACACUGGGACUGCGACACGGCCCAGACUCCUACGGGAGGCAGCAGUAGGGAAUCUUCGGCAAUGGACGGAAGUCUGGCCGAGCAACGCCGCGUGAGUGAAGAAGGGUUUCGGAUCGUAAAGCUCUGUUGUAAGAGAAGAACGAGUGUGAGAGUGGAAAGUUCACACUGUGACGGUAGCUUACCAGAAAGGGACGGCUAACUACGUG